Molecule: unclassified non-coding RNA, 337 nt
Filed under: plant metagenome
Description: partial contains 5.8S ribosomal RNA, internal transcribed spacer 2, and large subunit ribosomal RNA
Rfam family: 5.8S ribosomal RNA (bases 1-105)
Source: RNAcentral
CGAAACGCGAAAGGUAAUGCGAAUUGCAGAAUCAGUGAGUCAUCGAAUCUUUGAACGCACAUUGCGCCUCUCGGUAUUCCGGGAGGCACGCCUGUUCGAGCGCCAUUACAAACUCCAAGCGUGGCUUGAUGUUGGGCGAUGUCUUUUUGCGAGAGCGGAGACACGCCUGGAACGCGUUGGCGCCGCCGCCGGACCACGAGCGUAGCAAGACGAGAGUCAAUCGCAUCGAUUUGGAUUCCGACGGAGGUCCGCCAUGGGACUGCACUUUCGAGUGUAAGUUCACAACUUCUCUCAAGUUUGGCCUCGGAUCAUGCGGGGAUACCCGCUGAACUUAAGC